AGUUAUUUAGCUUAUUAUUAUAAAGCAAAUGUUUUGAAAGCAUAAGAAAGAGAAAUUUAAUAACUU
Molecule: transfer RNA, 66 nt
Filed under: Cicadellidae sp. 'Neodcortus squaras'
Lineage: Eukaryota; Metazoa; Arthropoda; Insecta; Hemiptera; Cicadellidae
Description: tRNA-Ser
Source: RNAcentral